Juglans regia (Persian walnut) is the source of this 515-nucleotide long non-coding RNA. RefSeq lists it as uncharacterized. The record is from RefSeq and is a predicted model, not a curated record. The transcript has 2 exons. NCBI's taxonomy places the organism in Eukaryota, Viridiplantae, Streptophyta, Magnoliopsida, Fagales, Juglandaceae.
UGAGGAGUGUGAGUAGCAGCUGGCAAGAUGGUUCACAAGGCCUUAUCUCUCAUCCUUUUCAUCGCUCUCUUAAUUUCGGUUGAAUUGGCUCCAAUAUUGGAGGCCAGAACAAACAAUAUCCCAACCAACCCAUGGGGAAGACGCCGCGGCGAAGGGUUCAAAGGAAAUAAGAUAAGUGCUCCUUGUCAUUCUUCACCACGCGGCAAAAGUGGUAUAGUUUGUCCGCCACCAGGUCAUUGAGGAGGGCAAUAAAGGGUAACAGAACCAUAGAAUAUAUAGCAUAAGGCCUUCGUGAACGUUGGUAAAUGGAUAAUUUUGUAAGUUUCACAAGCUACAUACCAACGAUUAUUGGCCAAAAUCUGCACUAGCUUACAUAUAUGUUUUAAUGUCAGUCUAGAGCUUCUUUUUUUUUUUUUUUUUUUUUUUUUGUUUGGUGACAUGUCAAUUAGAAGCCUGAGAAUAUAUAUAUGGCCUAUGUUUCCAUCAAUAAGUAAGCUUAUGUGUUAAAGUAAGAA